UGCCUGCUCCAGAAGCUCAUAUACAAAAUUGGAGCGAUACAGAGAAGAUUAGCAUGGCCCCUGUGCAAGGAUGACAUGCAAAUUUGUGAAGUGUUCCAUAUUUUU
This 105-nucleotide small nuclear RNA is filed under the name Ornithorhynchus anatinus (platypus). The record is from RNAcentral. Lineage: Eukaryota; Metazoa; Chordata; Mammalia; Monotremata; Ornithorhynchidae.